ACGGGGAGCAGCAGGCGCGAAAACUUCCCAAUGCUCGAAAGAGUGACGAGGGGAUCCUGGGUGGCAUCGCAAUGCGGUGCCUUUUGUCCACUGUAAAAAGGUGAAUGAAUAAGGGGUGGGUAAGACGGUUGCCAGCCGCCGCGGUAAUAACCGCGCCCCAAGUAGUAGUCACGUUUAUUGGGCCUAAAGCGUCCGUAGCCGGUUUGUUAAGUCUCUGGUGAAAUCCGUUAGUAAACUAACGGAAGGGCUGGAGAUACUAUCAGACUCGGGACCGGGAGGGGUCGAAAGUAUUCCACGGGUAAGAGUAAAAUCUUUUAAUCCGUGGAGGACUACCUGUGGCGAAGGCGUUCGACUGGAACGGGUCCGACGGUGAGGGACGAAAGCGUGGGGAGCAACUGGGAUUAGAUACCCCAUUAGUCCACGCUGUAAACGAUGCCCUUUUGGUGUCGCACAAUCUUCGAGAUUCUGCGGUGCCGUAGCGAAGGUGUUAAAAGGGCCGCCUGGGAGUACGAUCGCAAGAUUGAAACUUAAAGGAAUUGGCGGGGGAGCAC
This 551-nucleotide ribosomal RNA is filed under the name uncultured archaeon. Its description in RNAcentral is "bacterial SSU rRNA". It matches the Rfam family "Archaeal small subunit ribosomal RNA", at positions 325 to 879 of the family's 1478-position model. The record is from RNAcentral.